CACACGGUGGAUGCCUUGGCAGUUAGAGGCGAUGAAGGACGUUGUAGCUUGCGAUAAGCGUCGGGGAGAUAGCAAACAAUCUUUGAUCCGGCGAUUUCCGAAUGGGGAAACCCACCAAUUUAUUGGUAUCUGUACCUGAAUCCAUAGGGUGCAGAGGCGAACCGGGAGAACUGAAACAUCUAAGUACCCCGAGGAAGAGAAAUCAAUCGAGAUUCCGUUAGUAGUGGCGAGCGAACGCGGAUUAGCCCUUAAGCAGGCCUAAGAUUAGUGGAAGCCUUCAGGAAAGUUGGCGCCAUAGAGGGUGAUAGCCCCGUACACGAAAAUCUAAGUCUGUGAAAUCGAGUAAGGCGGGACACGUGUUAUCCUGUCUGAAUAUGGGGGGACCAUCCUCCAAGGCUAAAUACUCCUAACUGACCGAUAGUGAACCAGUACCGUGAGGGAAAGGCGAAAAGAACCCCGAUUAGGGGAGUGAAAUAGAACCUGAAACCGUGUGCGUACAAGCAGUGGGAGCCCACUUGUUGGGUGACUGCGUACCUUUUGUAUAAUGGGUCAGCGACUUACUUUCAGUGGCAAGCUUAACCGAUAGGGUAGGCGUAGGGAAACCGAGUCUUAAUAGGGCGCAAAGUCGCUGGGAGUAGACCCGAAACCGGGCGAUCUAUCCAUGGCCAGGUUGAAGGUGCCGUAACAGGCACUGGAGGACCGAACCCACGUCUGUUGAAAAAGACGGGGAUGAGCUGUGGAUCGGAGUGAAAGGCUAAUCAAGCUCGGAGAUAGCUGGUUCUCCUCGAAAGCUAUUUAGGUAGCGCCUCGGACGAACACUCUUGGGGGUAGAGCACUGUUUAGGCUAGGGGGUCAUCCCGACUUACCAAACCUAGGCAAACUCCGAAUACCAAGAAGUGAUAUCCGGGAGACACACGGCGGGUGCUAACGUCCGUCGUGAAAAGGGAAACAACCCAGACCGUCAGCUAAGGUCCCAAAGUUAUGGUUCAGUGGGAAACGAAGUGAGAAGGCUCAGACAGCCAGGAGGUUGGCUUAGAAGCAGCCACCCUUUAAAGAAAGCGUAAUAGCUCACUGGUCUAGUCGUCUUGCGCGGAAGAUUUAACGGGGCUAAACCAUACACCGAAGCUACGGGUUCAUACUUUGUAUGAGCGGUAGAGGAGCGUUCUGUACGCCUGCGAAGGUGAUCUGUAAGGAUUGCUGGAGGUAUCAGAAGUGCGAAUGCUGACAUGAGUAACGAUAAAAGGGGUGAGAGACCCCUUCGCCGAAAGCCCAAGGUUUCCUGCGCAAUGCUAAUCAGCGCAGGGUUAGUCGGCCCCUAAGGCGAGGCAGAAAUGCGUAGUCGAUGGGAAGCAGGUUAAUAUUCCUGCACCGACGUGUUGUGCGAUGAGGGGACGGAGAAGGCUAGGCCAGAUGGGCGACGGUUGUCCCAAUCUAAGUGCGUAGGGGGUAGAUUUAGGCAAAUCCGGAUCUACUUAACCCUGAAACACGAUGGCGAAGUGAACAUGUUCACUGAGUGGUCGAUGCCAUACUUCCAAGAAAAGCCUCUAAGCUUCAGCAACACGUUGACCGUACUCCAAACCGACACAGGUGGGCUGGUUGAGAAUACCAAGGCGCUUGAGAGAACUCGGGUAAAGGAACUAGGCAAAAUAGUACCGUAACUUCGGGAGAAGGUACGCCUCUGAGGGUGCAUAGCCUUUGGAGGCCGCAGAGACCAGGUGGCUGCGACUGUUUAUUAAAAACACAGCACUGUGCAAACACGUAAGUGGACGUAUACGGUGUGACGCCUGCCCGGUGCCGGAAGGUUAAUUGAUGGGGUUAUCUUCGGAGAAGCUCUUGAUCGAAGCCCCGGUAAACGGCGGCCGUAACUAUAACGGUCCUAAGGUAGCGAAAUUCCUUGUCGGGUAAGUUCCGACCUGCACGAAUGGCGUAACGAUGGCCACGCUGUCUCUACCCGAGACUCAGUGAAAUUGAAAUCGCAGUGAAGAUGCUGUGUUCCCGCGGCUAGACGGAAAGACCCCGUGAACCUUUACUACAGCUUGACAUUGAACGUUGAUCCUACUUGUGUAGGAUAGGUGGGAGGCUUUGAAGCAGUGACGCCAGUCAUUGUGGAGCCAACCUUGAAAUACCACCCUGGUAUGAUUGACGUUCUAACCUAGACCCGUUAUCCGGGUCAGAGACAAUGUCUGGUGGGUAGUUUGACUGGGGCGGUCUCCUCCCAAAGAGUAACGGAGGAGCGCGAAGGUACCCUAAGUACGGUCGGAAAUCGUGCGGUUUGUGCAAAGGCAUAAGGGUGCUUAACUGCGAGACAGACACGUCGAGCAGGUACGAAAGUAGGUCUUAGUGAUCCGGUGGUUCUGUAUGGAAGGGCCAUCGCUCAACGGAUAAAAGGUACGCCGGGGAUAACAGGCUGAUACUGCCCAAGAGUCCAUAUCGACGGCAGUGUUUGGCACCUCGAUGUCGGCUCAUCACAUCCUGGGGCUGUAGCAGGUCCCAAGGGUAUGGCUGUUCGCCAUUUAAAGUGGUACGCGAGCUGGGUUUAGAACGUCGUGAGACAGUUCGGUCCCUAUCUGCCGUGGGCGUUGGAGAAUUGAGGGAAGCUGCUCCUAGUACGAGAGGACCGGAGUGGACGAACCUCUGGUGUUCGGGUUGUGUCGCCAGACGCAUUGCCCGGUAGCUAAGUUCGGAAUCGAUAACCGCUGAAAGCAUCUAAGCGGGAAGCCUCUCCCAAGAUAAGUUCU
Molecule: ribosomal RNA, 2738 nt
Filed under: Penaeus vannamei (Pacific white shrimp)
Lineage: Eukaryota; Metazoa; Arthropoda; Malacostraca; Decapoda; Penaeidae
Description: bacterial LSU rRNA
Rfam family: Bacterial large subunit ribosomal RNA
Source: RNAcentral